RNAcentral lists this long non-coding RNA (5053 nucleotides) under Sus scrofa (pig). RNAcentral's name for it is "lncRNA (ENSSSCG00000061830.1)". The record is from RNAcentral. Lineage: Eukaryota; Metazoa; Chordata; Mammalia; Artiodactyla; Suidae.
UUUCAUUGUACCCUGAAUUUAUUUAAAUCAUAUUGAGGCUUAUUAAAUAUUUACUACUAAGUUUGCCACUCUCUGAGAUGAUUUGACGUUUCAGUCAGAGCCCUGAAGGGCUGUUUUUGAUCAGUCAUUCUUUGGAGUUAAAUGUAUGUACGUUGGUAGGACUGGAAAAGAAUGGAAUGUCAGCUCUCUGCCAACGACUCUCCUGGUUGAAAGAAAAUUUUUCCUUUUGGAGUGAGUCACGUAGAGAAUUUAUCUCAGGAGGGCAUCAAAAAAAGAGGUGAAAAGCAAUUAAGGAGAAAAAAAAAAAAAAACCCAAAUGCUUCCAUCUGUGUUGAUCCUAUUCCCCCUGGAAAAUAGGUACCAAAUAGCAAUUUUUGGUUACCAUUUUUUCCUCUUUCAAGCCAAAUGGAAUUUCCUGAGUUGUUCAUUUGGAACGUGCCCCGAUGGAAAGGGCCUUAGUCAGGUCUCGCCAGGAGAGAAGAGAGCAGAAAACGUGGUCUGCUUUGCUCACUCCCAACAAGGGAAUUCUCAUCAGAGUGGUCACCUGCGGGCAAGACUCUCUGAAGGGGUCCUCUUCUUCCAGAUCGUGGAGCCCAAACGGAAAGCAUCCAUUGGGAAAGAUUGACCUCUGGGUGGAAUCAAUUACAUGUACGCCUCAUUUUGAAAUGUUACUCGCACACACACAGUAACGAGACUGACGCUAAAUUUAUUCAUCUCUUUGCAAGAAGCCGCCAAUGAACCUCGAACAUGCUGUGGUGGAAAAGUAACUCUGCCCAACAUGUGACACGAUCUCCCUCAAACACGUUCAUUGGGCAUCGCAGGCAGUGCAUAUAUUUUAGAUCUCGGGCCAGCGUGCUUUGGAAUGGGCACGGCCCAGCCUAGGUCUUGCUCUAGCUUCUGCUCACUCGCAUUCAGGGUUUCUUACCCUCGGCGUCUCUUGAUAUCUGGGGCCGAGGAUUCUUGGCGGUGAGGGCUGUCCUGGGCAAUGCAGGGUGUUUAGCAGCAUCCCUGGCCUCUACCCACUAGAUGCCAGAAGCACCCCUCCACUUCUCCCACUGUGCCCCCCUCCCUGUUGUCACAACCCGGAUGUCUCCAGACACUGCCCGAUGUCCCCCGUGAGGCAGAAUGGCCCUGGUUGAAUAACACUGCUCUAAUUUGAUAUUGCACAACCCCAGGUUUGAUAUCAUCUAACUGCUGUUCUAUAAUGCACUGUCUUCAUGCCCGUGCCGCUGGGGGCUUCUUUCUGCAUGUCCGAUCCAAGUUCUGCACUGAGUGGGGGAAGGAAGGGGCUACGAUGUGUGUAAGGUGUCCGCAAAGAUAGAUCUGUCCAGGAUAAUUGGAUUUUUGUCUGUUGCCCGGAUGUCAGUAAGUAGCAUCCCCUAAGGAGUGUCUGCAUACCGGUGAAAAUUACCAAGCCCCCUUGUAAUCGAGGUGUUUUGGCUUUGAAGAAUGGGUCUGCGUUUUAAGAGCUCCUGCAAUCUCAAGAGGCUCUUCUCUUUGCAGAAGUCUUGGACUCCUUCCUAUCCUAUUUUGGGGCCUGGAUGUUUAACCAUUUCAGGCCCACAUGGACUACCUACCCAGGCCUCGAGCCUCAACUGCUACUGACUUCCAGUUUUGACCAACUAGGCAAAGCGAGCUGACAAUAGGGAAAAGAGUAGUGCUUUUCAAAACUGUUUCUUCUCUCAGCAGGGAGAGUUUAAAGUUGUAAGUAAAGAAAGACUUGCUACUGACUUUAUAAUGGCUUUUAUACCGGCUUUUACAAUCACAUGGAUUACUGGGAUCAGGCUUCCUGCUUGGAAAAGUGCUUUGCAAUACUUCAGCCAAACGAGAGUGAGUUUAGAACAGCCUGGGUACAAUAGAAGGGAGGUGAAGAAAUCAGAGGUAGUUCGAAAAGCAAUCAUUCCUUUGGUCUUAAGAAUAAGGAAAAACAUUUUUUUUUUUUUAUUCCUCAGUAAAUCCUGUCACAUGUAGAACAGCCUGCUUGUUAAAGCCUCGAGUGGACGUUUGGAUUGUGUGGUUCCUGGCAUGUUCUUGUGCUUUAAAAAAGCACACAAAACCUCUCCAGGUAGUAAUAUGCUCUCUAACCUGUAAUCAGAAUCGGCCUCCCACCUGAAACUAUGAAGACAAGAUCUUCAACCCAGAGUGAAGGCAAGAUAAUUAUGUGAGAACACUCCAUUCACAAGGUCAGCAUUAAUUUGGUUAUCUGUACUCAGUGCCAGCUGAGAUCUGAUUUUUAAAGUGACACCAACUCAUGGAAUCUGCCGGAGAUUUGGGACAUACAGUCUCCCUUCUUCUCCACACUGUUCUUCUUGGGUCAGCCUCCUAGACCUUGUCUCCUCUCUUGGACCCAGACAAAACCCUCUGGGUCUGCAGGGCCGACCUUCCAGAUCCCUGACUGGAGAAACAUGAGGCCAGAUGGCUUCACCUACUAACAAUUCCUUGUCCCAGUCUCCUUGACUUCAUAUGGGGAUGUUUUCUGCCCGCGUGUACCCACAUCACAUGUGUAAUAGAUAGUGUCUCUAAUGCUUUAAUGAAGGUUAUGUCGUGAUCCUCAGUUGGAUUUCAGCAGAUUUUUUUCCAGGUAUUUCCCGAGUCUUGUUGUUCUUCCAUCUCGGCUGUGAAAUAGGAGUUGGCACCUGUGCUAUAUUGCCCUGUGGUUCUCGGUCCUGUGGUCUUCCGUUGAAACAGUCACCUCCCCCCCAAAAUGACCUUUAGCUCAAAAUAAGAGCCCCUUGUGAACGCAGGGGAACUGACUCCAGAGAACAUGACGGAAGUGGCUAUUUUGAAUUAGAUUAUGCUUUGCAAAGUGCAUCUCAGACGUCCAAGUGAUGCAGAGUACUGUCUUAGGAUGUCAUGUUGUAGGAGGGUGUGCGCUUGACUCUACACACCUGCAGGGGACAGCAACCAAGAAACGUGAGCCCCUCUACUCUGCCUUGGAAGAGAGCAUUCUGUGAUCACCCGAGUCUCAGCUUAAAUGCACUCAGAAUAUAAGAAAGAAAUCUCAUCUCGUGUGCCAGGAGCCUAAACAUGCCACAAAAGAGGGUAAUUUUGAGUUGCCUCAAUUAAGAGAAUUAAUAUUAUAGGGCUAAGUAUUGGUAUUAAGAGAAUUAGUAUUUAGGACUAGGCUUAUUAAGAGGCUACUCGGCUCUUCGCUUUGCCUACGGAUCCCAAAGUCACCUUGCUUUAACUGUUUCUGACCAAAAAUCUGCUAAACAUUAUCACUGCAAAGAGCUAUUUUUUUGAGCACCGACUCCACAUGACCAACUUUUAAGCACUGUGGACACAGAGAAAGAUGGACUAUUUCUUCUCCAUGGAGGAAGCAGGACAGAAACACAGAGAGAAAGAGAACAGAAAGGUAAAAGAGCAUGUGCCAAGUGUUGGGUGAGAAUGGUUGAAAUAGCUAAACAAUGAAACUGAAGGUUAAAAUUUCAAUAAGGAAUUAGGAGGAAUAAAAAUAUAAUCAAACAGGAUGGGCAUUUUCUUUUAUCCGUUAAGAAUUACACUUCGUGGAGUUCCCAUCGUGGCUCAGCAGAAACAAAUCUGACUAAAACCCGUGAGGAUGCAGGUUUGAUCCCUGGCCUCGCUUAGUGGGUUAAGGAUCCCGUGUUGCCACGAGCUGUGGUGUAGGUCACAGAUGCGGCUUGGAUCCUGUGUUGCUGUGGUGGUGGUGUAGGCCGGCAGCUACAGCUCUGAUUCAACCCCUAGCCUGGGAAUUUCCAUAUACCCUGGGUGUGGCCCUAAAAAGCAAAAAAAAAGAAUUACGCUUUGCUUCCAGGAGCAGAACUGAAAUCAGAGUGUCUUAAACAAUGUAGGUGGUAAUUUUUUUCACAGUUAAAACAUGUUAGAGAAUUGGGUUAGUACAGCAGUUUAACAAUGUCCUUGGUGUCUGGAGUUCUCUGUUUUGCAAUUCUUAGUGCCACCUCUCCUAUUCUAGAUUGUCCCAUGAUUGCAAAAUGGCUGCUUAAUAUCCAGCCAUCAUGCCCAUGUCUUAGACAGAAAGAAUAAGGAAAGAGGGGAGCUCAAAGAGCCAUCCUUGCUGAGAUAACUUCCCGUUAACAAUUUUCGAGAAGCCCUCCACCCAAUACUUGGUUUCUGAUAUCUUUAAUUUUUCCAGCCAAGUAUUAUGGGCACCUCCUCCAGUGUUAUGGUACCAAUAAAUGAUAACAGCAUGAUAUUGGAGAAACAAUUAGCAAGCUCGGGUAUACAACUUAACUAUCACUAAUAUUUAAAAAACAAAAUCACAUAGAUCUCUUAAACUGGAAGUAAACAAACUAUGGCCUGUGGGCUAAAUUCAGCCCACUGGCUUUCUGAUAAAGAAGUUUUUAUUGGGACUCAGCCAUACCCAUUCAUUUAUGUCUGAAUGAGUGUGGUGUAUGACUGCUUUUGCACUAUCCCAGCAGAGUUGAGGAGUUGUGACAGAGACUGGCCUGCAAAGCUAAAAAUAUUUUCCAUCUGUCCCUUUGCAUGAAAACGUUGCCAACCCCAAUUCUAGACAGAUAACUCAAUGGAAAAAGGGGCAAACGACUGGAGCAGACAAAAGGUAUAUCCAAAGACUAAUACAUAUAUGAAAAGUGCUCCAGCUCGUUAGUCAGCAGGGAGAUGUUAAUUAAAACCACAGCACACCAGCACUCCUUGCCCAUCUGAAUGGCUGUAAUUAAAGAAGAGAGGGAGAACCGGCAGAAUCAAGCGUUGCAUUAAUCUGGGUCAACUGGAAUUCUCAUACAUUGCUUCUGGCAGUGUAUGUUGGUGCAAAUACUUUGGGAAACAGUUGGGCAGUCUCGACUAAAGCACAGCAUGGGUAUUCCCUCUAACAGAGCCAUUCUACUCCCAGGUACAUACCCAACAGAAAUGCCGACCCACGUUCACCAAAAAGCAUUUUCUAGAAUGUUCCCAUCAGCGCUAUUCAUUAGCAACCCCCAGACGGAUAAACUGUCUCUCGACAGUAGAAAAGGAAUAGUCGCAUUUUCUUCAUAGGAUAGAAUGGUUCUCAGCCACGAAGAGGAAGGAUUGCAUGCUCUAACAUUCAGUAGUGGCAAAAGGAGCCAGAUGAUGG